GGAAGUAAAAAAUCGUAACAAGGUCUCCGUUGGUGAACCAGCGGAGGGAUCAUUACAGAGUUGCAAAACUCCCUAAACCAUUGUGAACGUUACCUAUACCGUUGCUUCGGCGGGCGGCCCCGGGGUUUACCCCCCGGGCGCCCCUGGGCCCCACCGCGGGCGCCCGCCGGAGGUCACCAAACUCUUGAUAAUUUAUGGCCUCUCUGAGUCUUCUGUACUGAAUAAGUCAAAACUUUCAACAACGGAUCUCUUGGUUCUGGCAUCGAUGAAGAACGCAGCGAAAUGCGAUAAGUAAUGUGAAUUGCAGAAUUCAGUGAAUCAUCGAAUCUUUGAACGCACAUUGCGCCCGCCAGCAUUCUGGCGGGCAUGCCUGUUCGAGCGUCAUUUCAACCAUCAAGCCCCCGGGCUUGUGUUGGGGACCUGCGGCUGCCGCAGGCCCUGAAAAGCAGUGGCGGGCUCGCUGUCGCACCGAGCGUAGUAGCAUACAUCUCGCUCUGGUCGCGCCGCGGGUUCCGGCCGUUAAACCACCUUUUAACCCAAGGUUGACCUCGGAUCAGGUAGGAAGACCCGCUGAACUUAAGCAUAUCAAAAGCCCGGAGGAA
Molecule: ribosomal RNA, 602 nt
Filed under: Chaetomium globosum
Lineage: Eukaryota; Fungi; Ascomycota; Sordariomycetes; Sordariales; Chaetomiaceae
Description: eukaryotic LSU rRNA
Rfam family: 5.8S ribosomal RNA (bases 231-384)
Source: RNAcentral